GUAGGGUGCAAGCGUUAAUCGGAAUUACUGGGCGUAAAGCGUGCGCAGGCGGUUAUGUAAGACAGUUGUGAAAUCCCCCGGGCUCAACCUGGGAACUGCAUCUGUGACUGCAUAGCUAGAGUACGGUAGAGGGGAUGGAAUUCCGCGUAGUAGCAGUGAAAUGCGUAGAUAUGCGGAGGAACACCGAUUGGCGAAGGCAAUCCCCUGGACCUGUACUGACGCUCAUGCACGAAAGCGUGGGGAGCAAACAGGAUUAGAUACCCUGGUAGUCCACGCCCCUAAACGAUGGUCAACUGGUUGUUGGUCUUCACUGACUCAGUAACGAAGCUAACGCGUGAAGUUGACCGCCUGGGAGUACGGCCGCAAGGUUG
Molecule: ribosomal RNA, 371 nt
Filed under: uncultured organism
Description: partial 16S ribosomal RNA
Rfam family: Bacterial small subunit ribosomal RNA
Source: RNAcentral